UAGGGAAUCUUCGGCAAUGGACGAAAGUCUGACCGAGCAACGCCGCGUGAGUGAAGAAGGUUUUCGGAUCGUAAAACUCUGUUGUUAGAGAAGAACAAGGACGUUAGUAACUGAACGUCCCCUGACGGUAUCUAACCAGAAAGCCACGGCUAACUACGUGCCAGCAGCCGCGGUAAUACGUAGGUGGCAAGCGUUGUCCGGAUUUAUUGGGCGUAAAGCGAGCGCAGGCGGUUUCUUAAGUCUGAUGUGAAAGCCCCCGGCUCAACCGGGGAGGGUCAUUGGAAACUGGGAGGCUUGAGUGCAGAAGAGGAAGGUGGAAUUCCAUGUGUAGCGGUGAAAUGCGUAGAUAUAUGGAGGAACACCAGUGGCGAAGGCGGCUCUCUGGUCUGUAACUGACGCUGAGGCUCGAAAGCGUGGGGAGCAAACAGG
RNAcentral lists this ribosomal RNA (429 nucleotides) under Gemmatimonadota bacterium. Its description in RNAcentral is "Gemmatimonadetes bacterium partial 16S ribosomal RNA". It matches the Rfam family "Bacterial small subunit ribosomal RNA", at positions 355 to 776 of the family's 1533-position model. Lineage: Bacteria; Pseudomonadati; Gemmatimonadota. The record is from RNAcentral.